RNAcentral lists this long non-coding RNA (268 nucleotides) under Daucus carota (carrot). Its description in RNAcentral is "long non-coding RNA (DCAR_LNC004942)". Lineage: Eukaryota; Viridiplantae; Streptophyta; Magnoliopsida; Apiales; Apiaceae. The record is from RNAcentral.
UGAAGAUGAACAGGACAUAUCAAGAACGUAUCUGCUUAGACAAAGGGUUUGGAGUCAAUAUCAUUCCCGGGUUCUAGUUCUUAAAUGUUCCGAAUGGUGAAGUGAAGACUAUGAGAGCUAUUGUCAAAGGAUGUUAUUUCUUUGGGUUUCAAUUUGAAGUGAAACUUGAGGAAGAUUCAGAAGCUCUUAAAGGGAUCCAGAUUGAGUGAUUGCACAGCAAGAUGAUCUCAAUCAGUUUGAAAGCAGAUUGUGCGGAUUCUGAUACCCU